Molecule: ribosomal RNA, 262 nt
Filed under: uncultured bacterium
Lineage: Bacteria
Description: partial small subunit ribosomal RNA
Rfam family: Bacterial small subunit ribosomal RNA
Source: RNAcentral
AGAGCGAACGCUGGCGGCGUGCUUAACACAUGCAAGUCGAGUGCGCGCCUGUAGCAAUACAGGUGGCGCACGGCGCACGGGUGCGUAACACGUGGGUAAUCUGCCCUUCGAUGGGGAAUAACCUCGCGAAAGCGAGGCUAAUUCCGCAUAACAUUCCGAUGGUUCCGAUCAAUGGACUCAAAGCCGUAAGGCGUCGGAGGAGGAGCCCGCGCACGAUUAGCUAGUUGGUGAGGUAACGGCUCACCAAGGCUUUGAUCGUUAG